Molecule: ribosomal RNA, 269 nt
Filed under: uncultured prokaryote
Description: partial 16S ribosomal RNA
Rfam family: Bacterial small subunit ribosomal RNA
Source: RNAcentral
UACGGAGGAUCCGAGCGUUAUCCGGAUUUAUUGGGUUUAAAGGGUGCGCAGGCGGAAGAUUAAGUCGGUGGUGAAAUUUUGCAGCUCAACUGUAAAAGUGCCAUUGAUACUGGUUUUCUUGAGUGUGGAUGAAGUAGGCGGAAUUUGUGGUGUAGCGGUGAAAUGCAUAGAUAUCACGAGGAACUCGAUUGCGCAGGCAGCUUAACUAAACCAUAACUGACGCUCAGGCACGAAAGGCGUGGGGAUCAAACAGGAUUAGAUACCCGGUA